Molecule: ribosomal RNA, 468 nt
Filed under: uncultured bacterium
Lineage: Bacteria
Description: partial 16S ribosomal RNA
Rfam family: Bacterial small subunit ribosomal RNA
Source: RNAcentral
GACGAACGCUGGCGGCGUGCUUAACACAUGCAAGUCGAACGGAAAGGCCCUGCUUUUGUUGGGUGCUCGAGUGGCGAACGGGUGAGUAACACGUGAGUAACCUGCCCUUGACUUUGUGAUAACUUCAGGAAACUGGGUCUAUUACCGGAUAGGAUCUCCUGCUGCAUGUUGGGGGUUGGAAAGUUUCGGCGGUUGGGGAUGGACUCGCGGCUUAUCAGCUUGUUGGGGGGGUAGUGGCUUACCAAGGCUUUGACGGGUAGCCGGCCUGAGAGGGUGACCGGCCACAUUGGGACUGAGAUACGGCCCAGAAUCCUACGGGAGGCAGCAGUGGGGAAUAUUGCACAAUGGGCGGAAGCCUGAUGCAGAAGCGCUGCGUGCGGGAUGACGGCCUUCGGGUUGUAAACCGCUUUCGACUGUGACGAAGCGUGAGUGACGGUAAUGGGUAAAGAAGCACCGGCUAACUACGUG